GAAAUGCGAUAAGUAAUGUGAAUUGCAGAAUUCAGUGAAUCAUCGAAUCUUUGAACGCACAUUGCGCCCGCCAGUAUUCUGGCGGGCAUGCCUGUUCGAGCGUCAUUUCAACCAUCAAGCCCCGCGCUUGUGUUGGGGACCUGCGGCUGCCGCAGGCCCUGAAAACCAGUGGCGGGCUCGCUGUCACACCGGGCGUAGUAGAUUUUAUCUCGCUCAGGGCGUGCUGCGGGUUCCGGCCGUUAAAAAGCCUUUUUUACCCAAGGUUGACCUCGGAUCAGGUAGGAUGACCCGCUGACCUUAAGC
This 303-nucleotide unclassified non-coding RNA is filed under the name plant metagenome. RNAcentral's name for it is "partial contains 5.8S ribosomal RNA, internal transcribed spacer 2, and large subunit ribosomal RNA". The stretch from base 1 to 105 matches the Rfam family "5.8S ribosomal RNA", at positions 50 to 154 of the family's 154-position model. The record is from RNAcentral.